CAAAGGGAGGGCUUCGAGGAAAAUCCGGCCGAAAAUGCAUUUUUACUAGUUGUUAUCAUUCGGACUCAUGAUGUAAAGUUGACUGUAUAUUCAGCUCGAAGUCAUACACGGACAAUGCGAUCUCUGAGCUCGAUAUAAAACAUGACAUAACGGUAAAUAACCGUUGAACUAUACAAGAUUUUAGCGCUCUCUAGUGGCCAACCGAAAUCGCCAAAUAAACAAACAGCAGCGAUGGUUCAAGCGAAGGACACGCACAAAUGGACACCACAGGAGACCAGACGGCUCAUUAAUUUCAGGGGGACCAGGGACAAUGAGUUCCUAAAAUCGGAAAUGAUCGCCAGAAAACAGUGGGAGUGAGUCUUACGUUGUUCAAUCUUUUCAUUCUUGCGUCUGUUUUCUACUUUGGUAUUUCUGUGUUGAGCUCAAUAGCCCACUGAAUGUCUGUGUCAUUAUACCAAUUGCCUAAUGAAUGUAUCAAC
Molecule: long non-coding RNA, 479 nt
Organism: Gadus morhua (Atlantic cod)
Lineage: Eukaryota; Metazoa; Chordata; Actinopteri; Gadiformes; Gadidae
Exons: 2
Source: RefSeq, a predicted model, not a curated record